This 492-nucleotide ribosomal RNA is filed under the name uncultured bacterium. RNAcentral's name for it is "partial 16S ribosomal RNA". It matches the Rfam family "Bacterial small subunit ribosomal RNA", at positions 36 to 507 of the family's 1533-position model. The record is from RNAcentral.
CUUUCCCUCUUUCUUUCUGCCUAACACAUGCAAGUCGAACGGCAGCACAGUAAGAGCUUGCUCUUACGGGUGGCGAGUGGCGGACGGGUGAGGAAUACUUCGGAAUCUACUUUUUCGUGGGGGAUAACGUAGGGAAACUUACGCUAAUACCGCAUACGACCUACGGGUGAAAGCAGGGGAUCUUCGGACCUUGCGCGAUUGAAUGAGCCGAUGUCGGAUUAGCUAGUUGGCGGGGUAAAGGCCCACCAAGGCGACGAUCCGUAGCUGGUCUGAGAGGAUGAUCAGCCACACUGGAACUGAGACACGGUCCAGACUCCUAAGGGAGGCAGCAGUGGGGAAUAUUGGACAAUGGGCGCAAGCCUGAUCCAGCCAUACCGCGUGGGUGAAGAAGGCCUUCGGGUUGUAAAGCCCUUUUGUUGGGAAAGAAAAGCAGCAGGUUAAUACCCCGCUGUUCUGACGGUACCCAAAGAAUAAGCACCGGCUAACUUCGUG